GGUUAAGCGACUAAGCGUACACGGUGGAUGCCCUGGCAGUCAGAGGCGAUGAAGGACGUGCUAAUCUGCGAUAAGCGCCGGUAAGGUGAUAUGAACCGUUAUAACCGGCGAUUUCCGAAUGGGGAAACCCAGUGUGACUCGUCACACUAUCAUUAACUGAAUCCAUAGGUUAAUGAGGCGAACCGGGGGAACUGAAACAUCUAAGUACCCCGAGGAAAAGAAAUCAACCGAGAUUCCCCCAGUAGCGGCGAGCGAACGGGGAGGAGCCCAGAGCCUGAAUCAGCAUGUGUGUUAGUGGAAGCGUCUGGAAAGGCGCGCGAUACAGGGUGACAGCCCCGUACACAAAAGCGCAUGUGCUGUGAGCUCGAUGAGUAGGGCGGGACACGUGGUAUCCUGUCUGAAUAUGGGGGGACCAUCCUCCAAGGCUAAAUACUCCUGACUGACCGAUAGUGAACCAGUACCGUGAGGGAAAGGCGAAAAGAACCCCGGCGAGGGGAGUGAAAAAGAACCUGAAACCGUGUACGUACAAGCAGUGGGAGCACCCUUUGGGGUGUGACUGCGUACCUUUUGUAUAAUGGGUCAGCGACUUAUAUUCUGUAGCAAGGUUAACCGAAUAGGGGAGCCGGAGGGAAACCGAGUCUUAAUUGGGCGUUAAGUUGCAGGGUAUAGACCCGAAACCCGGUGAUCUAGCCAUGGGCAGGUUGAAGGUUGGGUAAC
This 717-nucleotide ribosomal RNA is filed under the name Salmonella enterica. RNAcentral's name for it is "partial 23S ribosomal RNA". It matches the Rfam family "Bacterial large subunit ribosomal RNA", at positions 1 to 760 of the family's 2925-position model. The record is from RNAcentral. Lineage: Bacteria; Pseudomonadati; Pseudomonadota; Gammaproteobacteria; Enterobacterales; Enterobacteriaceae.